AUACUUACCUGGACGGGGUCGACGGCUGAUCAAGAAGAGUCGUGGCCUAGGCUAGUGGUCCACAUUGCACUUGGUGGAUGUGCUGGCCUACCAUCUCCCCAAGUGGGAGAGUGGACGUCGUAAUUUGUGGUAGAGGGGGUACGCGUUCGCGCGGCCCCUGC
This 161-nucleotide small nuclear RNA is filed under the name Triticum aestivum (bread wheat). Its description in RNAcentral is "snRNA U1". It matches the Rfam family "U1 spliceosomal RNA". Rfam says of the family: U1 is a small nuclear RNA (snRNA) component of the spliceosome (involved in pre-mRNA splicing). Its 5' end forms complementary base pairs with the 5' splice junction, thus defining the 5' donor site of an intron. The record is from RNAcentral. Lineage: Eukaryota; Viridiplantae; Streptophyta; Magnoliopsida; Poales; Poaceae.